GGAUGUGAAGGCCAUCUGGCCAUGGCAUCAAUCACCUCGUUGACUGUAAGUCUUGAAUCAGCUAGUUGGCUAUAUUGUGUUCCCUUCCUUCCCUGCACCCAUGUGCAUCCCUUCCCCCAGGAGCUGCGACAUCAGUCAAAGCAAACAACCUUUCCAAUGGAGGAGGUCUAUUCUUGAUCACGGGUAUGUGAGUAUGUAUGCUUCCCUAUUAGAGUACUAAUAAAAUUAACCCAUUAGGGCCAAAUAAGCUCUCAGGAAGUAGUGAGGCAAAUCGAUAAGCUGUGGGACACAGUAAGAGGCUAAUCUGUUCCUCCAC
Molecule: small nuclear RNA, 316 nt
Filed under: Propithecus coquereli (Coquerel's sifaka)
Lineage: Eukaryota; Metazoa; Chordata; Mammalia; Primates; Indriidae
Description: 7SK RNA (ENSPCOG00000001300.1)
Rfam family: 7SK RNA
About the family: 7SK was discovered as an abundant small nuclear RNA in the mid-70s but a possible function has only recently been suggested. Two independent studies have found that 7SK RNA binds the CDK9/cyclin T complex (known as elongation factor P-TEFb).
Source: Rfam by way of RNAcentral